UAUCUAUUUUUGUUAAAAAAACAAUACAAAUAUUAAAUUUUGUUACAGUUCCACUUGAUUGAUUAUUUCAAUAUUAUGCUUUUAUUCAUUAUAAAAGUUAAAAUAAAAUAAAUUCAUAAUUCAUAAAAAAUAGAAAAUGAAACCCAUGAGGAUUAGCUCAAGCUCAACGAAAGUGGGUUGAAUCUCGGAGUUCAAAUCUCUAAGAGGGAUCGUAUCAUUUAUUACUCCAACCUCUUUAGUUGGCUGAAAUAGCAAUGCAUUACAACAUAAUUCAGUGGGCCCAUCACCAAACCAUUGUUUGGUUGGUUGUAAUUUCAGCCAAAUUCCAUUAUGGGUUUAUUCAACUGAAAAUGCAUCACACCAUUCAGUAUUCAGGACAUGGGUUGUAUAACAAAUUAGCCAAGGUUUUCAUUUUACCCUCACUAUUCUCCUUUCUUUCCCACUUCUUAAAUCCUUGAUUUUUUUUUCCGUGUUUCUUCCCCAACUUAAUCUCUUCUACACUUAAUUUAAACAUUUUUUUAAUCACAUUUCCUUCUAACCCUAUCUGCAUCACACACCAAAACUCUUUUUCUCUUCAAAUUGGAAAUUCUUGAUAGCUUAAUCCACUGAAAAAAAAAAAGUGAAGCAUUUUUUGAGUCGUCUCGCAGGAUCCAAGAUCCGGUAAGUUUUAAUUUGGAUCCAAAUUUCAAAUCCCCUAGAUCUGUACAUAUUCUUAUAAUGGGUUUUGGUUUAUAGAUCUAAUCUCCCAAUUCUUAGUUUAUUUGAUACUCUUUUAUCAAAUUGUAAACCUUUUGCAUUAAUAUGAAUCUUUUAUUUUUCAGUAGUUUCUGUUGAAAUUGCUAUUUUAUGUUAUUCAUUGUUACUUUUUUUUUAUUGUGUAUAUGGAUGUACUGCUUUUCAAGUUGAUUUCAAUGGAAUUAUUGUAUAAUUGCGCUUGUGGGUUCUUUUCUGGGUUUUUACUAUUUCAAUGUACCUAUAUUAGAUAAUGGCUAAAAGAAUUGCAUACAACUCCGUUUUCAAUAUUUUAUUUCUAUUAUCUUCUAAUGUAACAUGUUUCAUCUUUGUUUCUCUUGAUUGGGUGUCAAAUAUUGGUCCUUUAUGUUCCCAAAGAUCCUGUCAUUUUUGAAACAAGGGAAGAAACAGAGUUAAAUAAUGAACUACAACGAACGAUGAUGAAGAUCCUUGAAGAUGAGGAUUGUGUAUUGUGAGAUAAAUAAUUAUGCAUAUCAAGGAUCGAAGGCAGUGUUAUGGGCCAAAACAGAAAUCAGGACAUUUAAGGAGCUAAGUAGAAUGGUGCAUUGACUCUUGUACUUAAAUUUGACUUUAUUUGAUUCGCUCUUUCUGCUUUUUGGAUCAUUUGUCAACCUUACAGAAAUGUUCUUGGAUCUGAUUAAUGAGUUUCUUAUUUUUUUUUUUCAUCAGAUUUGAUCACUUGGUUUAGGACUUGAACUCUCUUUAGAAUUUAAUUUUUUUCCCAUUGUGUUGUGUUUUCAAGGUAAGAUUCAUUUAUCAUGUCGAACGUAAAUGUAUUAGUCAUUUUGUUUUCUCA
Long non-coding RNA from Gossypium arboreum, 1549 nucleotides. RefSeq lists it as uncharacterized. The record is from RefSeq and is a predicted model, not a curated record. Lineage: Eukaryota; Viridiplantae; Streptophyta; Magnoliopsida; Malvales; Malvaceae. The transcript is spliced from 2 exons.